This 477-nucleotide ribosomal RNA is filed under the name uncultured bacterium. Its description in RNAcentral is "partial 16S ribosomal RNA". It matches the Rfam family "Bacterial small subunit ribosomal RNA", at positions 28 to 507 of the family's 1533-position model. The record is from RNAcentral.
GAUUAACGCUGGCGGCGUGCCUAACACAUGCAAGUCGAACGAACAAACGUAGUAGACUUCUUCGUAACGACACUAAGCGGAUUAGUGGCGACCGGGUGAGUAACUCGUUAGUAACCUGCCUUACACAAGGGGAUAGCCUGCGGAAACGAAGAAUAAUACUCUAUAACACCAUAAAAGCACAUGCUAGAAUGGUCAAAGUGAUAGCGGAGUAAUAUGGACUUGCGUCUGAUUAGCUAGUUGGAGCGAUAAAAGAUCACCAAGGCUACGAUCAGAAGCCGGCUCGAGGGAGUGUACCGCAAUCUUGGGACUGAGACAAGGCGCAGACCUCCAGGGGAGGCAGCAGGGGGGAAGUAUGCACACUGCGGGAAAGACUGAGGCAGCGGCGCCGCGUGAUUCAGAAGGCAUUGGAGUUGUAAAAUUCUUUUGUAUAGGCAGAACAUGACAGUACUAUAUGAAUAAGGUCCGGCUAAUUACGUG